This is a non-coding RNA of Budorcas taxicolor (takin), 74 nucleotides long. The record is from the annotation of a RefSeq genome assembly. Lineage: Eukaryota; Metazoa; Chordata; Mammalia; Artiodactyla; Bovidae.
GGCUGGUUAGCUCAGUUGGUUAGAGUGUGGUACUAAUAAUGCCAAGGUCAUGGGUUCGAUCCCCAUAUGGGCCA